CAGAGAGUCUCCCGACUCCCUCACCCCUGCGAACCAAACCUCUCGUUGCUUCGGCGGGCGGCCCCCCGUACGGGGGGCCACCGGCCCGCCCCUCCACGACGGGGCGCCCGCCAGAAGACCGACCAAACUCGUUUUCUUUUAGUGGACAUUCUGAGUAUAAGCUUCUAAACAGACA
This 175-nucleotide unclassified non-coding RNA is filed under the name uncultured fungus. RNAcentral's name for it is "sequence contains ITS1, 5.8S rRNA gene". The record is from RNAcentral. Lineage: Eukaryota; Fungi.